This 1017-nucleotide long non-coding RNA is filed under the name Triticum aestivum (bread wheat). RNAcentral's name for it is "long non-coding RNA (TAES_LNC019002)". Lineage: Eukaryota; Viridiplantae; Streptophyta; Magnoliopsida; Poales; Poaceae. The record is from RNAcentral.
AGGGGGUGGUUCUUCAAUCUUCAGGGAAUCAAGCGGUAGCACUGGAUGCUGACAUGCAUGGAAGGUAGGAGUAAUGGAGUAUAUGUAUUUGUAGCAAUUCAUCAUCGCCCAUAAAUAAAUCAUCUUUGCCCCGCUUCCUCUGUCCGUCCGUCAACUCAAAUUGCUUUGGUUCACAAGUUCGUUUCAUCGUACAUCUAGGUACACUAGAACAGAGAGACUACUUUCCUUGAAUGGCUCAUGCGAGUAAACUGGCAAUAGUGUUCAUCCAAGAUGCAUUUGUAUAUGUAUCUUCAUAGAGAUGUAGAUGCGUAGGUAGUUCAAUAGUGCGCAUGUUCAUCGAGAGGGAUGUAGAUGUAGUAUACAACCGAGGUUACAUUGACAAGUUAGUCCAUUAUGCUCCCAGGAAAAAUAAAAUAUGGUAUAUUGUUUCACACUAUCAUCAAUAGUGAAGCUUGUAUUUAAUAUUUCUUUGUUUUGCAAUGCUGAAUAUUUGGGGAACACACAGUGAGGUGUAAUAUGUAGAGUAUAGACUACAGAUUCACCGAAUCAGCUUGAACAUUGUUAUAUCAUGCUUCAUAUGAUUUGGUAAUGAUUUUAAAACAUGGAAUGGGGCAAAUAAAGUUGAAACCUGGUACUGUUCGUCCCAUAAAAAACAGUUACUAUCGUUAUUUCUUACCAACUAAUGAUGCAUUUCUCCGGCUAUGAUUACAUCAGCUAACUACUCCAUGAUUACAGCAGUAAACAAUGAUAGGAAUACAAGCAUUGGAGUACUCGCCAUGUUCGAGGAAGUCAUCGUGGUGCUCGAGGAAUUCGUAGCUGAUGGCGGCAUCAUCAUGGAGCAGGCACCAUCUUCUCCUCUAUUUAAACUGUAGUACUUCAUGUACUCCCACUUGUAAACUUUCUGAAAUGCAAAUGCACUCCAAGAAUGUGCUCUGAAAUGGAGAAACAUGGAGUAUACUCUAAAAAUCAGUUUGGUGCCUGCCCAGUAGAUCAAUCAAAGUACUCUGGGCAUGAUAA